Molecule: long non-coding RNA, 1813 nt
Filed under: Heterocephalus glaber (naked mole-rat)
Lineage: Eukaryota; Metazoa; Chordata; Mammalia; Rodentia; Bathyergidae
Description: lncRNA (ENSHGLG00000036052.1)
Source: RNAcentral
CACACUCGAUCGCUCCCAGCGUGAGUGGGGGCGGCAGCGAGUCCUGGAGAGCGUGCUCCCACGCGGCCACCCGCCCUGGUGAGAGCCGGGCCCCUGGCACAGCCUUUUAAAACUUCAUAAAUUAUAAACAAGCCGCCUUGGCCCUCACCAUAAAUUCCCCUUCUUGAGCCUGCAAUUAGUGUUAGGAAGCACCCAAGUCUAAACACAACCAAACGCCCUCUGAAGGACCCAACUGCCCAAGGUUGCAAACCUUUAUUUCCCAGUGCCACCCCCUCCCAAGCCAAGGUUUGCACACAGUCGCCUCCUCCCCCGCCACCGCCGGCAGUACACACUCGGCAGUACACACUCGGCUGGGUUCCCGCUCUGCGAGGGAAGGUCACAAUAGCUGCUCUAUCUGCAGAGGCGCCUGCCUCCUCCCUCCCUGGGUCUCAGAGAAGCAGAGAAAGAAGGGGGAGGGGCGCCGGCCGCCGACGGCGCCCAGGGCCGGGGGCCUCUCUUCUUGGGGAAGAGUUGCAGCGGUACUUGCAAGAGGAAGUUGGGUGGGGUAAGAAAUCUCCACCCUAGCUCCUGCCUCUCAAGUGUUCCGGGGGGCAAAGGGAAGGCACCAAGGCCUCGAAGUUGCUCGAGGCCUCCCUGCUCCACGCUUCCUUGAGGGUGCCCAGAGCAGCCAGAAGCCGGGAACACGCACGCCAUUGUGUGCGCUGCUUCCCCAUGGGUUCUACAGCAGAGGAGGCCGUAUGUAGGCAGCACAGGCUGGUGGCCGGAGGCAGGGUGGAAUAGCCUGCUGCACAGCAGGGGUUGGAGUGAGAAAUAAUUUAAGCCGAAGGAGAGAGUUCCUUGCAACCAGGAAAAACUCAGGAUCCAGUCUGCAGUAGAGGGCCUAGAAUGGAGCUAACCAGGAAAUUGCAGAAGCUGCUGAGGAACAGGCCUUGAAGAGUAGUCCUGGCACUGGUAAGGAGGGCCCAGUGGGAAAAUGGGUCGAGUGAGCGGCACCAGAGUCCCUCGCUCCAGCCUGCCGCCUCUUGGGACAGCGACGAUGCUCUCCUCAGCACGCACGGCAGAGAACACACAAAGAAAGCCGGGACCUGUUCUCGGCAGUUUCGAGGAGGAGGCUGGUGAGGACCCCGAGGCGGAGUGCCCCAGCCCCGCAGGAACAAUAGCUGCAGGCGGCAGUGCGGAGUGCGGCACAAAGCCCGCCGGAUCCACGCCGUCACCGGUUCCUCCUACUUCAGAGCAAGUCUGGGCCAGCUGGGAGCCGACCAGAAACCGCCAGCGGAGGAGACUCGGGCGCACUGGCUGGGUACUUGCAGAGGGCGUGACCCGCGGUGUUCCCACCCCCACCCCCACCCCCGCCUCACUACAGCCUGGGCUGGAGGGGAGUGCUGGUGGCCACCUCCUUGCCUUGGGGACAGGCCGGCUGCGCCAGCCCUCAGACUUCUCUGGGCACCCACGCCUGCCCCUGCCCCACAGUGACCCUGCAUUCCCUGUCCCUCUCCACACUGGCCCCAGUGACCCGCUGCUCUGUUCCCAGAAAGGGAUUUAUCUGACUCUGAAGGCAGGAGAAAAAGCCCACGAGGCCAGAGGGUUUUUGCAAACUCUUAAGUCUUAUUUGGCUGCGGGAGUAUUUGUGUGGGAGGAAGACCACUGUUGAACUUGAAAUAAACUUGAAUGUCAUUUAUAGUAACAAUAAACAUAUACUGAAAACACCAGUCACAAUGAUGUUUCUUCUCUUGGAGUGUAGCAGCAAGACUCCUAAGUACUUUUACCUCAGCCCUCAGGUUAAUUUUAGAAACAUCAUAGGGCUAAACUGCAA